UGGCUAAGACAUCUCUUUUGGGAAAGC
This 27-nucleotide non-coding RNA is filed under the name Homo sapiens (human). Lineage: Eukaryota; Metazoa; Chordata; Mammalia; Primates; Hominidae. The record is from RNAcentral.